RNAcentral lists this transfer RNA (76 nucleotides) under Holdemanella biformis. RNAcentral describes it as "tRNA-Ala". It matches the Rfam family "tRNA". Rfam says of the family: Transfer RNA (tRNA) molecules are approximately 80 nucleotides in length. The record is from RNAcentral. Lineage: Bacteria; Bacillati; Bacillota; Erysipelotrichia; Erysipelotrichales; Erysipelotrichaceae.
GGGGUGUUAGAUCAGCUGGGAGAGCACCUGCCUUGCACGCAGGGGGUCAUCGGUUCGAUCCCGAUACGCUCCACCA